Long non-coding RNA from Triticum urartu, 700 nucleotides. RefSeq lists it as uncharacterized. The record is from RefSeq and is a predicted model, not a curated record. Lineage: Eukaryota; Viridiplantae; Streptophyta; Magnoliopsida; Poales; Poaceae.
UCUGUGGUUUGCAGCCGCUAUUUAUACUCUCCGAAGACCGUCCGGUUCACUUCUCCAUGGUAUACAUAGUCAUCUAUAUACCUUUUUUCUAAGAGGGCCAUCUGAAUUCGAGUUCAAAGUCCAUUUUUUUAGAUAGCUUACAACAUAUGACAUGCAGUUGUGUUCAAAGUCAAGGCCACUGACCAACAUGUUAUGUUUCUUUUGAGAAACUAACAUGUACUUGUACCCGAAAAGCUCUGGGUAUUACGAUCGAUCUCCCGCGGCUCAACAUAGGCCAAAACGGAAGACGGGCUUCCUCAAAGCAUGCCUUGCUGCUUUGUGUUGUUGCUGCCUCGUAGACGAGUGUUGCUGCGGCUCAUGUCAGAUUUGUCGCAAACACGCCAAGCCAGAUGGUGACCGAUGAACAGUCCGAGCUGAGAUACAUAUGUAACGUAGUACAUACUAGAAGAAAAGGCACGCCUUGGCACGCUGUUUACUGUAAUGUAGCAUCACGUGUACCUGACGAAACUGAAUCCCAUGAGGCUGAAGGUGUGUAGGAGUUGAAGACGUCGCAGUCUGGGACCCGCAAGUAAGCGACGAUGUUGAGUAUUAUGAUUAUAGCGUAGGAUCUUACUCUACCCUGUCUUGUACUUCAAGUUGGUCAUUGUACCCCUAUAUAUGCGCCCACGAGGCUCAAGCAAUAAACAAUCAAUUCCACCAA